RNAcentral lists this ribosomal RNA (641 nucleotides) under Karenia bidigitata. RNAcentral describes it as "eukaryotic LSU rRNA". The stretch from base 249 to 403 matches the Rfam family "5.8S ribosomal RNA". The record is from RNAcentral. Lineage: Eukaryota; Dinophyceae; Gymnodiniales; Kareniaceae.
UCCGUAAGGGAACCUGCGGAAGGAUCAUUCACACGCAUCCAACUUGAUUCAUUGUGCACCAUCUUAUGUGAUUUGCUCCUUCUGGUGGAGACAACUUGUCUACACCUUUGGGUUCAUCUCGCGGGUAGUCUGAACGAUAUUGGACCGUCUUCCUUUAUCGUCUGGCUGCCGUUGUUUGUUUGCUUGAUGUUUUGUAUUGUGAUCAAUUCUCCACUUGGGGUGGGUGACCACCUGCAUGUUGCAUCUACAACUUUCAGCGACGGAUGUCUCGGCUCGAACAACGAUGAAGGGCGCAGCGAAGUGUGAUAAGCAUUGUGAAUUGCAGAAUUCCGUGAACCAAUAGGGAUUUGAACGUAUACUGCGCUUUCGGGAUAUCCCUGAAAGCAUGCCUGCUUCAGUGUCAACAUGUUUUCAUGCCACUGUCAACCUGUCCUCGACAACUGACAGUAGUGCGUGUUUGUGCAUUAAGGUGCUCUGUGCCCUUGAUGCAUGCAGUACAUGGGUUCAGUGCUUCGUCAGCAACUUGAUAAGCUCUUUGAGUGUAAGCUGUUGUCUGCGCGUGGUGCUGAUAGCCUGGCCUCCAACCUGUCUGUGUGUGCUCUUUUCAUGACAUGAAGUUAGGUGAGCAAACCCGCUGAAUU